This 620-nucleotide long non-coding RNA is filed under the name Rattus norvegicus (Norway rat). RNAcentral's name for it is "long non-coding RNA NONRATT032803". Lineage: Eukaryota; Metazoa; Chordata; Mammalia; Rodentia; Muridae. The record is from RNAcentral.
CACAAAUCCAGCCAGUACAGGCACCAUGACUAGAAUUCUACCCCCAAAUGCCAUGUGAUCACCUGCUGGUGAGCACGGCAGGCAAAUCUAGGCCGUUUCUGCUUUGGUAGCGACUGCCUGUAGAGAGACGUCAAUGUUCUCACUGUUAUUUCUGGAAUGAGAGUUUAAAGGGUUGCUGGGCUGUACCCACGGAAGCAUCAGGAGGAAGUUUUACCCUGAGAGGCUGCCUGAUGUAAGGAAAGAACCAUAGGGUCAGACUUCAUCUGGGCAGAAUAGUGCCCCAAGCAAGGUGGUCCAAUCGAGUUUUCCUCCUUAGGUCAUGGACACGGUGCGUAUUGCGGUCGUCGGAGCUGGCGUGAUAGGGCUGUCUACUGCCGCCUGCGUCUCCCAGCUGGUCCCCCGAUGUUCCGUUACUGUCAUCUCAGACAGGUUCACACCUGACACCACCAGUAAUGUAGCAGCUGGGAUGCUCAUUCCUCCCACGUAUCCAGAUACGCCCGUGCCCACGCUGAAGCGAUGGUUUAGAGAGACCUUCCAGCAUCUUUCUGAAAUCGCCAGGUCUGCAGAGGCUGUGGAUGCCGGCAUUCACCUGGUGUCUGGGUAAGGAGAGGAAUCUGAAG